This 644-nucleotide long non-coding RNA is filed under the name Vitis vinifera (wine grape). RNAcentral's name for it is "long non-coding RNA (VVIN_LNC000222)". The record is from RNAcentral. Lineage: Eukaryota; Viridiplantae; Streptophyta; Magnoliopsida; Vitales; Vitaceae.
UAUGAGGCCAGCUCUGAAGCCAUGAUGGUCAUUUCAAGCAGUAGCUCCGAUUGGACCUGGGUAUCAAUAUCAUCAACUCCUCCUUCUUUUCUCCUUUGUUGUUUUCUACUCAUGCUUCAUCCUGCUUUUCACAUAACUUCAUGAUCUGAGCUAAGGUAAACUCAGUAAGUUGUUUGAAUUAGUAUAAGCAGAGCUGAUAUAGCUUGAGUAGGUAUAAAACUACCUAGUGAAUAACCUGCCAGAUCGAUUCAUCUUCGUGGGGGCACAGCAAGUUUCCUCCUCCCUCUCUGAAAGGAAGACAGACAGAAACUUUUAGAGGAGAAAGGAAAAUAUAGCAAAAUUUGAACAAAAUCAACUAUUUUAGUUACAGUAUUUCCUGGUCUUGCUUCUCCGCUUUUCCUUCUUAUCUUGUAAACUUAGCCUGCAAUCUUUACACUUCAAGGAAUAUUCCAUGGAAAGAAUCUAGAAUCAAUAGAAAAUAACCGAGGAAAAUGUAGCAAAUAGUAGUACAAUCAUGUUUAGUAGGCUGGUUUUAGCGUAACUAUUAGAUUCUCCUUUAACCAUGACAUCUUCCUUUUACCUUAAUUCAAAAUCAUUUAAGUAACUAAAAAGUGAGAAUAAUCUUUGCUCCUUCUGUGCAGACC